CGUGCCUAAUACAUAGCAAGUCGAACGGUCUUUCUAUGGAAGCUUGCUUCCACUGAGAAGAUAGUGGCGAACGGGUGAGUAACACGUGGGUAACCUGCCCAUAAGAGGGGGAUAACAUCCGGAAACGGGUGCUAAUACCGCAUAGUUUUCUUGAUUGCAUGAUUGAGAAAGGAAAGACGGCCUUUGUGCUGUCGCUUAUGGAUGGACCCGCGGCGUAUUAGUUAGUUGGUGAGGUAACGGCUCACCAAGACGAUGAUACGUAGCCGACCUGAGAGGGUGAUCGGCCACAUUGGGACUGAGACACGGCCCAAACUCCUACGGGAGGCAGCAGUAGGGAAUCUUCCGCAAUGGACGAAAGUCUGACGGAGCAACGCCGCGUGAGUGAAGAAAAGGUUUUCGGAUCGUAAAACUCUGUUGUCAGAGAAGAACAAGUUGGAGAGUAACUGCUCCAGCCUUGACGGUAUCUGACCAGAAAGCCACGGCUAACUACGUGCCAGCAGCCGC
RNAcentral lists this ribosomal RNA (504 nucleotides) under uncultured bacterium. RNAcentral describes it as "bacterial SSU rRNA". It matches the Rfam family "Bacterial small subunit ribosomal RNA", at positions 43 to 518 of the family's 1533-position model. The record is from RNAcentral.